CCUCUCAUGGGCUGUAUUGGAUU
This 23-nucleotide non-coding RNA is filed under the name Cricetulus griseus (Chinese hamster). The record is from RNAcentral. Lineage: Eukaryota; Metazoa; Chordata; Mammalia; Rodentia; Cricetidae.